CGGUCUGUCUGCCAAACGACACAGUUAAUGAAAAUAAAUGACCGUAGGAUGUUGAGGAUGUUGAGGUUCAUAUCAAAGGAUAAAACAGGAAAUGCAUCAGGGUUGGACCCCUUGGAGUUGUUUCAUCAUUCAGCAUCACAAUAUCCUCUUAAUUUGACUCCUCACUAUUUCAAGCUGCAAAAGCCCCUAAAAUAUAUUUUAUACCUUCAUUCAGCGCUGCAUCACAUUUCCUGACUAUCAAAGUAUGUGCCAAAACAAAGUAGAUUAACUCCACUGCAUAUCUCGCACUUUUCAGACAGAUGAAGUGAAAUGACUGUAGCUUGACAUCGAUCACUGAGAGAUUUUUAUGAGUUUAAAUAGAUUGUGGUAAUUAAAAUCAGUGUGGUAAAAUCUGCUAAAAGACAUUCUUACAUACAUCAAAACACUGUGCGUGUCUUUUACAAAUCCUAAACUGCAUCCACAUCUCUCUGAUAUUAAAAAUAGAUGACAUUUACUCACCCAUAUGUAUAAAAAAAAAAAUAAUUGUCGGUCCAACCCUAGAACGAACUGCGACUGUGAAAAAUAUUCAGACUCCUUCAGUUGGUGCAUACUUUCUUGAUACUUAAAGCUCAAUUUGGAACGAAGAAUCUGGUUUAUUCAGUGCAGAAUUAUUACUGCUAUUAUGUCCAUACAGCAAGAAAGUGGUCUUAAUACGUCCUGAAGCCUCUCCAUAUGCCCUAGUGUGCAGAGGCUGUUGUAUGUCAUAAUGUGUGAAUAUUUCCAUUAAUCUGUACUUUGGAGGUUUUAAAUGACCAGUGGUCUGAUCCGAUGCCCACCCACCCAUCUCUGUCCUGUGUGUUAAAUCAAACAUACUCAAAGUGUUUCAUCAUUGUGUUGUGACUGCAUUUGUCCUGUGUGACCACCGAUCUCACCGCUGGUUGUUUAAAAACUUGAAGCUAACACCUCCACAGAAAGAAAGAAAGAAAGGAAGAAAGAAAUAUGUCACAGAGAGGUUUUAAGUUGUACAUGUUGUGGUGUUGUUGAAUAUUUUGGUAGUGACUGUGAGAAAGAGAUUAUGUUUAAGACUGUUAAUCUGAUGCUGUUUGUUUAUUAUGAAGACGUCCAAUUGCAUGUCCUCAUUCUGUGCACCCGUCCCACCCUAUGUGACGUGUUGCUGUGUCAUGUUAUGUGCUCCCACCCACCCGAAGCAUGGGACUCCCAUCAGUUUGUUGUUGUUGUUGGUGUGUGUCAGGAAGUCAAGUUAUUUCAGCUUUUUUUGGGGGGGGGCAGUUAUGAUUUUGUGACGUUUUUAAUUUUUUAUUGUAUUUCUUUGUUACCAUUUCCAUCCAGCAUCACUCUAGAAACUGUGUUCAGGGAAUGCCGCCCACCCUCCCACUUUCCCCAGAAACCACAUGCUUUACAACCGGUUCAUGCACACACACACACAGUAAUGUACACCCACCCACCUGCCUCAUUCCCACCCUCAGUCAUCCAUACCGUACAUAUUCAUAAAACCGUUCAAAAACCCGCCACACAUCCACUAUUCCCUCCCAGUUUCUUCAGAUUCAGCCGCUGGGUUCCUUUCGGAGGACGUAAACCAUCUCGGCUGCAUUCAGCCUUCAACACAUGAAACAGACCAAAACAAACAAACCCCCCUCC
Molecule: long non-coding RNA, 1638 nt
Organism: Scatophagus argus
Lineage: Eukaryota; Metazoa; Chordata; Actinopteri; Scatophagidae
Exons: 2
Source: RefSeq, a predicted model, not a curated record